RNAcentral lists this long non-coding RNA (501 nucleotides) under Mustela putorius furo (domestic ferret). RNAcentral describes it as "lncRNA (ENSMPUG00000027558.1)". The record is from RNAcentral. Lineage: Eukaryota; Metazoa; Chordata; Mammalia; Carnivora; Mustelidae.
UUUAUUUGUGUAUCUCUUAUUUCAUAUGUGUCUUCUUUCUUUUGCCAUCUUUCUACCCCUUUGAUACUGGGAACAAAAUAGGAAAGAUGACUAUUCUUUAUUAUAAUACUCCAUUACCUAGAAAACUUCUUUAGGAUGAAAGAAAACCCUGCUCUUGAUCUCCAUACAUUUCUCUACUGCUCUCAUUUCCCUUUACUCCAAAAUUACACAGGGAAAGAUUACAACUCCACUUAAAUAACUCCCACAUAUAUUCAAAGAUGAUCUGAGAACUGACAUCUCGAGGGCUCUUUAAGAGAUCUCAUUUAUUUCAAGACCUUGAGAUGUGAUCCAACACAUAGGACGUAUCAUGACUUUAAGCCUAGAGUCAGAAUCGGAGUUAUUUUAACAAUAGAAACAAACUUGGAAAGCUACCAGUCCAGUCUUUUUUACAAUAUGGAAACUAAGACCCAGAGAGGAUGUCCUGAACAAGGUCGUCAGGUUGUCGCUCCUGCCACGCUCUGA